CAGCAGCCGCGGUAAUACGAAGGGUGCAAGCGUUAAUCGGAAUUACUGGGCGUAAAGCGCACGUAGGCGGACUUUUAAGUCAGGGGUGAAAUCCCGGGGCUCAACCCCGGAACUGCCUUUGAUACUGGAAGUCUUGAGUAUGGUAGAGGUGAGUGGAAUUCCGAGUGUAGAGGUGAAAUUCGUAGAUAUUCGGAGGAACACCAGUGGCGAAGGCGGCUCACUGGACCAUUACUGACGCUGAGGUGCGAAAGCGUGGGGAGCAAACAGGAUUAGAUACCCGUGUAGUCCCUGUCUCUUAUAC
This 301-nucleotide ribosomal RNA is filed under the name uncultured bacterium. RNAcentral's name for it is "partial 16S ribosomal RNA". It matches the Rfam family "Bacterial small subunit ribosomal RNA", at positions 509 to 807 of the family's 1533-position model. The record is from RNAcentral.